RNAcentral lists this ribosomal RNA (442 nucleotides) under uncultured bacterium. RNAcentral's name for it is "partial 16S ribosomal RNA". It matches the Rfam family "Bacterial small subunit ribosomal RNA", at positions 338 to 795 of the family's 1533-position model. The record is from RNAcentral.
CCUACGGGAGGCAGCAGUAGGGAAUCUUUCACAAUGGGCGAAAGCCUGAUGGAGCAACGCCGCGUGCAGGAUGAAGGCCUUCGGGUUGUAAACUGCUUUUAUAAGCGAGAAAUAUGAUGGUAACUUAUGAAUAAGGAUCGGCUAACUACGUGCCAGCAGCCGCGGUCAUACGUAGGAUCCGAGCAUUAUCCGGAGUGACUGGGUGUAAAGAGUUGCGUAGGUGGCAUAAUAAGUAGCUAGUGAAAUCUGGUGGCUCAACCAUUCAGACUAUUAGCUAAACUGUUAAGCUCGAGACCGUUAGGGGUAACUGGAAUUUCUAGUGUAGGAGUGAAAUCCGUAGAUAUUAGAAGGAACACCAAUAGCGUAGGCAGGUUGCUGGGACGGUUCUGACACUAAGGCACGAAAGCGUAGGGAGCAAACGGGAUUAGAUACCCCAGUAGUU